This 543-nucleotide ribosomal RNA is filed under the name uncultured archaeon. RNAcentral describes it as "bacterial SSU rRNA". It matches the Rfam family "Bacterial small subunit ribosomal RNA", at positions 513 to 1050 of the family's 1533-position model. The record is from RNAcentral.
CGCCGCGGUAACACGUAGGUGGCAAGCGUUGUCCGGAAUUACUGGGCGUAAAGGGCACGCAGGCGGAUAUUUAAGUCAGAUCUGUAAUCUGUAGGCUUAACCAACAGCUCGGGUCUGAAACUGGCUAUCUUGAGGAUAGGAGAGGACAGUAGAAUUCCUAGUGUAGCGGUGAAAUGCGUAGAUAUUAGGAGGAAUACCAGUGGCGAAGGCGGCUGUCUGGCCUAUCACUGACGCUGAGGUGCGAAAGCACGGGUAGCAAACAGGAUUAGAUACCCUGGUAGUCCGUGCCGUAAACGAUGGGUACUAGGUGUGGGAGGUAUCGACCCCUUCUGUGCCGGAGUUAACGCAAUAAGUACCCCGCCUGGGGACUACGGCCGCAAGGCUAAAACUCAAAGGAAUUGACGGGGGCCCGCACAAGCGGUGGAGCAUGUGGUUUAAUUCGACGCAACGCGAAGAACCUUACCGGGAUUUGACAUCCCCUGCUCACGCAGGAGACUGCGUUUUUCAUCUUCGGAUGAACAGGGAGACAGGAGGUGCAUGGCC